This 464-nucleotide ribosomal RNA is filed under the name uncultured bacterium. RNAcentral describes it as "bacterial SSU rRNA". It matches the Rfam family "Bacterial small subunit ribosomal RNA", at positions 338 to 795 of the family's 1533-position model. The record is from RNAcentral.
CCUACGGGACGCACCAGUAGGGAAUCUUCGGCAAUGGACGAAAGUCUGACCGAGCAACGCCGCGUGAGUGAAGAAGGUUUUCGGAUCGUAAAACUCUGUUGUUAGAGAAGAACAAGGACGUUAGUAACUGAACGUCCCCUGACGGUAUCUAACCAGAAAGCCGCGGCUAACUACGUGCCAGCAGCCGCGGUAAUACGUAGGUGGCAAGCGUUGCCCGGAUUCAUUGGGCGUAAAGCGAGCGCAGGCGGUUUCUUAAGUCUGAUGUGAAAGCCCCGGCUCAACCGGGGAGGGUCAUUGGAAACUGGGAGACUUGAGUGCAGAAGAGGAGAGUGGAAUUCCAUGUGUAGCGGUGAAAUGCGUAGAUAUAUGGAGGAUCACCAGUGGCGAAGGCGGCUCUCUGGUCUGUAACUGACGCUGAGGCUCGAAAGCGUGGGGAGCAAACAGGAUUAGAUACCCUUGUAGUC